AGUGAACGCUGGCGGCAGGCCUAACACAUGCAAGUCGAACGGCAGCACAAGAGAGCUUGCUCUCUGGGUGGCGAGUGGCGGACGGGUGAGGAAUGCAUCGGAAUCUGCCCAUUUGUGGGGGAUAACCUCGGGAAACCGGGACUAAUACCGCAUACGACCUACGGGUGAAAGCAGGGGAUCUUCGGACCUUGCGCAGAUGGAUGAGCCGAUGCCGGAUUAGCUAGUUGGAGGGGUAAAGGCCCACCAAGGCGACGAUCCGUAGCUGGUCUGAGAGGAUGAUCAGACACACUGGGACUGAGACACGGCCCAGACUCCUACGGGAGGCAGCAGUGGGGAAUAUUGGACAAUGGGCGCAAGCCUGAUCCAGCCAUGCCGCGUGUGUGAAGAAGGCCUUCGGGUUGUAAAGCACUUUUGUUGGGAAAGAAAAGCAGCCGGUUAAUACCCGGUUGUCAUGACGGUACCCAAAGAAUAAGCACCGGCUAACUUCGUG
RNAcentral lists this ribosomal RNA (490 nucleotides) under uncultured bacterium. RNAcentral's name for it is "partial 16S ribosomal RNA". It matches the Rfam family "Bacterial small subunit ribosomal RNA", at positions 29 to 507 of the family's 1533-position model. The record is from RNAcentral.